This 377-nucleotide ribosomal RNA is filed under the name Trichormus variabilis PNB. RNAcentral describes it as "partial 23S ribosomal RNA". It matches the Rfam family "Bacterial large subunit ribosomal RNA", at positions 679 to 1052 of the family's 2925-position model. Lineage: Bacteria; Bacillati; Cyanobacteriota; Cyanophyceae; Nostocales; Nostocaceae. The record is from RNAcentral.
GAGUCCGAUAAGGGCGUCAGUCGCAUGCUCUAGACCCGAAGCGGUGUGAUCUAUCCAUGGCCAGGAUGAAGCGUCGGUAAGACGUCGUGGAGGUCCGAACCCACUUCAGUUGAAAAUGGAGGGGAUGAGCUGUGGAUAGGGGUGAAAGGCCAAUCAAACUCCGUGAUAGCUGGUUCUCCCCGAAAUGCAUUUAGGUGCAGCGUUGCGUGUUUCUUGUUGGAGGUAGAGCGACUGGAUGGUUUAGCGGGACUAUCAUCUUAGCGACAUCAGCCAAACUCCGAAUGCCAGCAAGGUGAGAGCGUGGCAGUGAGACUGCGGGGGAUAAGCUCCGUGGGUCGAGAGGGAAACAGCCCAGAUCGCCGGCUAAGGCCCCUAAG